CUGGCGGCGCGCCUAACACAUGCAAGUCGAGCGAGGCCGUGGCUUCGGCCACGAGUCGAGCGGCGAACGGGUGAGUAACGCGUGGGUAACCUACCCAGGAGUGGGGGAUAGCUCCGCGAAAGUGGGGGUAAUACCGCAUUCGCGCACCGGGCCACAAGGCCUGGUGUGGAAAGGCUGGGAUCUUCGGACCAGUCGCUCCUGGAUGGGCCCGCGUUCGAUUAGCUAGUUGGUAGGGUAACGGCCUACCAAGGCUACGAUCGAUAGCCGGCCUGAGAGGGUGACCGGCCACAUUGGGACUGAGACACGGCCCAGACUCCUACGGGAGGCAGCAGUGGGGAAUAUUGGGCAAUGGGCGGAAGCCUGACCCAGCGACGCCGCGUGGGGGAUGAAGGCCCUCGGGUUGUAAACCCCUGUCAGGGGAGACGAAAGCCCAGCAUCUAAUAGGUGCUGGGUUUGACGGUACCCCCAAAGGAAGCCCCGGCUAACUCCGUGCCAGCAGCCGCGGUAAUACGGAGGGGGCGAGCGUUAUUCGGAAUUACUGGGCGUAAAGCGCGCG
This 556-nucleotide ribosomal RNA is filed under the name uncultured Eubacterium sp. RNAcentral's name for it is "bacterial SSU rRNA". It matches the Rfam family "Bacterial small subunit ribosomal RNA", at positions 36 to 571 of the family's 1533-position model. Lineage: Bacteria; Bacillati; Bacillota; Clostridia; Eubacteriales; Eubacteriaceae. The record is from RNAcentral.